Non-coding RNA from Termitomyces sp. 'cryptogamus', 87 nucleotides. NCBI's taxonomy places the organism in Eukaryota, Fungi, Basidiomycota, Agaricomycetes, Agaricales, Lyophyllaceae. The record is from the annotation of a GenBank genome assembly.
UCCGGUAUGGUGUAACGGCUAACAUUGCCGCCUUUCAUCUCGUGAAGGAAUUCGCGGCAGCUCGGGGUUCGAUUCCCCGUACCGGAA